GCGGGGCGAGUCGUCUGGGGACGACGCCGCCGUCACGAGGCGGACGAGCAGGGUUCGAUUCCCUGGCCCCGUA
RNAcentral lists this transfer RNA (73 nucleotides) under Polyangiaceae bacterium LLY-WYZ-15_(1-7). RNAcentral's name for it is "tRNA-Val". The record is from RNAcentral. Lineage: Bacteria; Pseudomonadati; Myxococcota; Polyangiales; Polyangiaceae.